RNAcentral lists this long non-coding RNA (1490 nucleotides) under Taeniopygia guttata (zebra finch). RNAcentral describes it as "lncRNA (ENSTGUG00000019790.1)". Lineage: Eukaryota; Metazoa; Chordata; Aves; Passeriformes; Estrildidae. The record is from RNAcentral.
UUUUUCUUUUUUUUUUUGGAUUGUGAGCAUCUGCAGUCAGCAAUAUGCAGGAUAAUAAGAUGCAGCUAGAGAGCCUGACUUUCAGGAAAGGAGAAUGCUAUAGCUCCCUCCUAUGGCAUGAUUCAUUCCCUUUUUACUGGUCUUUUUAAAGUGAUCAUCCUAUUCUACUAUUUCAUUAACUUUUUUCAUUCAGCCAAUUAACUGCAGUGACAAUAUCAGGGAAGCCAUACUCUUUUUGCGCUGUGCUAUUCUGCUUUCCCUUAAAUUAGAGAUGUCUGUCCACAGGAAUGCUGGCCAUGAUAUCAAUUACUUAAGGAAAAUGGAUAAGACUCAUCAAACAGGCAAAAUGAUUUAUGAUCUUUCCAAACACAAUAAUCUAUCUUGUAAUAAUUUCCUUCAUGAAAUGUCAUCCUAGAAUUGAAUGGCCCAGUUGAGGAUCACACUGGGAAGAGACCAAAUGCAAGUAGAGUGACAUUUUGGCUUGUGAGAUUUGUCAGUACAAAGGGUACUGGGUUUCAUGUGGUUUCUCUGACACUUCUUGCUUUCAGAUCCACCUUCCCCACACCACUGCUCUCCUUGAUCCCUUCAAUCCCAAUGGUUCUUAUGUUGUCCUUCAAAGCAUCUGCUUGAAUAGCAGCCUAGAAAACAUCAGUACAGGCAAUGAAGCUGAUGCCAUUAUAUGAAAAGGGCCAUUAAAUCACCAUUUAAAAAUAAUUUUUAACCUACACUAUUGGGGUCACUAAUUAAAAAUCAAUUCCUCUCUGUGUUGCAAAUCUGACAGUAAUUCUACCUCCAAUGGGUACAGCAAGAUUAACAGCACAUCAGGUAAAUGCAGCUGGGAAAUGACAUUUUCAUUAGUGAUUUAUUGGGUGUGAAAUUUCCACCAUGGUGAAAUAUUCAUGAACAAAGCAGGUUAGAAUGUCUCCAUAAAUAUCCAUGUUACUAAUUACUGUUGAAGCCCACGCUGGAUUAAAUGUUCACAAAGCAAAGCAUUCACAAGCCACAGGAGAAUUCUCUAGGACAAGUCUUUUAGGGAGAAACCAAAAACACACAAAACCCAAUAAGCAGCAAAUUAAGAGCUUUCCUACUAAUCAUGGUAUAUCACUUCUCCUAUCCCCAGCAAAACAAUCAAACCAACCCCAAAACCCCAGGAGAAAGCAAAGCAAAGCUGUUUGUCCUGCUAAUGAAGAGUGCCAGGGAGUGAUCCUGGGCCUGAGGCCAAAUGGUGGGAAAGGCAGCAGCUACUCCACAUCCCCAUUCCUUGGGCUGGGGCAAAGCAUGUCCAGGUGAGCAUGUCCAGGUGACCUCACCCAGGCUGAAGGACUGGGGAGCAUUUGCUGUGUCCUCACAGCAGCCCAGAGUGACCAGUGGUGGCCAGGUCACCUUGUCCCUGUCCCCUGUCACCUCAGUGUAGUGACACCUCCCUGUAAUGGCCCCAGCCCUGCCUGUAGCACCUGGCUGCUCUGGGUUAUCCUGUGGGAUGGAACCAG